This 494-nucleotide ribosomal RNA is filed under the name uncultured bacterium. Its description in RNAcentral is "partial 16S ribosomal RNA". It matches the Rfam family "Bacterial small subunit ribosomal RNA", at positions 28 to 507 of the family's 1533-position model. The record is from RNAcentral.
GACGAACGCUGGCGGCGUGCUUAACACAUGCAAGUCGAACGGUGAAGCGCCUUCCUUUUUGGUGGGUGUGGAUGAGUGGCGAACGGGUGAGUAACACGUGAGUAACCUGCCCCCUUCUUCUGGAUAACCGCAUGAAAGUGUGGCUAAUACGGGAUAUUCUGGGUCUGUCGCAUGAUGGGUCUAGGAAAGAUAUUGUUUCGGUGGGGGAUGGGCUCGCGGCCUAUCAGCUUGUUGGUGGGGUGAUGGCCUACCAAGGCGGUGACGGGUAGCCGGCCUGAGAGGGUGGACGGUCACACUGGGACUGAGACACGGCCAAGACUCCUACGGGAGGCAGCAGUGGGGAAUAUUGCACAGUGGGCGCAAGGCUGAUGCAGCGACGCCGCGGGAGGGAUGGAGGCCUGCGGGUUGUGAACCUCUUUCGCCAGUGAAGCAGGCCUGCCUCGUUUGUGGGUGGGUUGACGGUAGCUGGAGAAGAAGCGCCGGCUAACUACGUG